This is a long non-coding RNA of Oncorhynchus tshawytscha (Chinook salmon), 642 nucleotides long. NCBI's taxonomy places the organism in Eukaryota, Metazoa, Chordata, Actinopteri, Salmoniformes, Salmonidae. The record is from Ensembl.
GGUAGCCUAGUGGUUAGAGCGUUGGGCCAGUAACCAGCAGGUAGCCUAGUGGUUAGAGCGUUGGGCCAGUAACCAGCAGGUAGCCUAGUGGUUAGAGCGUUGGGCCAGUAACCAGCAGGUAGCCUAGUGGUUAGAGCAUUGGGCCAGUAACCAGCAGGUAGCCUAGUGGUUAGAGCGUUGGGCCAGUAACCAGCAGGUAGCCUAGUGGUUAGAGCAUUGGGCCAGUAACCAGCAGGUAGCCUAGUGGUUAGAGCAUUGGGCCAGUAACCAGCAGGUAGCCUAGUGGUUAGAGCAUUGGGCCAGUAACCAGCAGGUAGCCUAGUGGUUAGAGCAUUGGGCCAGUAACCAGCAGGUAGCCUAGUGGUUAGAGCGUUGGGCCAGUAACCAGCAGGUAGCCUAGUGGUUAGAGCGUUGGGCCAGUAACCAGCAGGUAGCCUAGUGGUUAGAGCAUUGGGCCAGUAACCAGCAGGUAGCCUAGUGGUUAGAGCGUUGGGCCAGUAACCAGCAGGUAGCCUAGUGGUUAGAGCGUUGGGCCAGUAACUGAAAGGUUGUUGGAUUGAAUCCCCGAGCUGACAAGGUAAAAAAUCUGUUGUUCUGCCCCUGAACAAGGCAGUUAACCCACAAUUUCCUAGGCCGUCAUUG